UUAUCCAGCCUACUAGAUUCAAAACCCUUUGCGAACAACACAAACCUUGUUAUAAAAACCGCCAUAUACGUAGCUUUUUAUGGUUUCUUGAGACCAAGAGAAUUUACCGCCAUCAACACAUCCCAGUCCACUCACAUUCUGCUUCAUUCACACUUAACAAAACACAUGGAUUACUAUAUUUUAGCUCUGCAUCACUCCAAAACCAAUCAACACGCACCCCCGGUAGAGGUUAGAUACUAUCC
Non-coding RNA from Pelobates cultripes (western spadefoot toad), 242 nucleotides. Lineage: Eukaryota; Metazoa; Chordata; Amphibia; Anura; Pelobatidae. The record is from the annotation of a GenBank genome assembly.